CGUAGGUGGCAAGCGUUGUCCGGAUUUAUUGGGUUUAAAGGGUGCGUAGGCGGUCUUUUAAGUCAGUGCUGAAAUACUCCAGCUUAACUGGAGGGGUGGCAUUGAUACUGGAAGACUUGAGUGUAGUCGAGGUAGGCGGAAUUGACGGUGUAGCGGUGAAAUGCUUAGAUAUCGUCAAGAACACCGAUAGUGAAGACAGCUUACUAGGCUACAACUGACGCUGAGGCACGAAAGUGUGGGGAUCAAACAGGAUUAGAUACCCUGGUAGUCCACACUGUAAACGUUGAUUACUCGAUGUUGGCGAUAUACUGUCAGCGUCUUAGCGCAAGCGAUAAGUAAUCCACCUGGGGAGUACGCCGGCAACGGUG
Molecule: ribosomal RNA, 368 nt
Filed under: uncultured organism
Description: bacterial SSU rRNA
Rfam family: Bacterial small subunit ribosomal RNA
Source: RNAcentral